AUGCGUUCCCGGGCCUUGUACACACCGCCCGUCACACCAUGAGAGUUGGCAACACCCGAAGUCAGUGAGCUAACA
RNAcentral lists this transfer RNA (75 nucleotides) under uncultured Pseudomonas sp. RNAcentral's name for it is "transfer RNA-Ala". The record is from RNAcentral. Lineage: Bacteria; Pseudomonadati; Pseudomonadota; Gammaproteobacteria; Pseudomonadales; Pseudomonadaceae.